UACACAUUGGCACACACACAGAUACUGACACAUACACAAACAGAUAUACUGACACACACUGUGACAGACAUGGAUACUGACACACACACAGGCAUACAUACUGACACACACACAGGCAUACUGACACACACAGACAUACUGACACACACAGACAGACAUACUGACACACACAUACAUACUGACACACACAGACAGACAUACUGACACACACAGACAUACUGACACACACAGACAGACAUACUGACACACACAGACAUACUGACACACACAGA
Molecule: non-coding RNA, 272 nt
Organism: Pelobates cultripes (western spadefoot toad)
Lineage: Eukaryota; Metazoa; Chordata; Amphibia; Anura; Pelobatidae
Source: the annotation of a GenBank genome assembly